GAAUGCUGACAUAAGUAACGAUAAAGCGGGUGAAAAGCCCGCUCGCCGGAAGACCAAGGGUUCCUGUCCAACGUUAAUCGGGGCAGGGUGAGUCGACCCCUAAGGCGAGGCCGAAAGGCGUAGUCGAUGGGAAACAGGUUAAUAUUCCUGUACUUGGUGUUACUGCGAAGGGGGGACGGAGAAGGCUAUGUUGGCCGGGCGACGGUUGUCCCGGUUUAAGCGUGUAGGCUGGUUUUCCAGGCAAAUCCGGAAAAUCAAGGCUGAGGCGUGAUGACGAGGCACUACGGUGCUGAAGCGACAAAUGCCCUGCUUCCAGGAAAAGCCUCUAAGCAUCAGGUAACAUCAAAUCGUACCCCAAACCGACACAGGUGGUCAGGUAGAGAAUACCAAGGCGCUUGAGAGAACUCGGGUGAAGGAACUAGGCAAAAUGGUGCCGUAACUUCGGGAGAAGGCACGCUGAUAUGUAGGUGAAGCGACUUGCUCGUGGAGCUGAAAUCAGUCGAAGAUACCAGCUGGCUGCAACUGUUUAUUAAAAACACAGCACUGUGCAAACACGAAAGUGGACGUAUACGGUGUGACGCCUGCCCGGUGCCGGAAGGUUAAUUGAUGGGGUUAGCGGUAACGCGAAGCUCUUGAUCGAAGCCCCGGUAAACGGCGGCCGUAACUAUAACGGUCCUAAGGUAGCGAAAUUCCUUGUCGGGUAAGUUCCGACCUGCACGAAUGGCGUAAUGAUGGCCAGGCUGUCUCCACCCGAGACUCAGUGAAAUUGAACUCGCUGUGAAGAUGCAGUGUACCCGCGGCAAGACGGAAAGACCCCGUGAACCUUUACUAUAGCUUGACACUGAACAUUGAGCCUUGAUGUGUAGGAUAGGUGGGAGGCUUUGAAGUGUGGACGCCAGUCUGCAUGGAGCCGACCUUGAAAUACCACCCUUUAAUGUUUGAUGUUCUAACGUGGGCCCCUUACCGGGGUUGCGGACAGUGUCUGGUGGGUAGUUUGACUGGGGCGGUCUCCUCCUAAAGAGUAACGGAGGAGCACGAAGGUUGGCUAAUCCUGGUCGGACAUCAGGAGGUUAGUGCAAUGGCAUAAGCCAGCUUGACUGCGAGCGUGACGGCGCGAGCAGGUGCGAAAGCAGGUCAUAGUGAUCCGGUGGUUCUGAAUGGAAGGGCCAUCGCUCAACGGAUAAAAGGUACUCCGGGGAUAACAGGCUGAUACCGCCCAAGAGUUCAUAUCGACGGCGGUGUUUGGCACCUCGAUGUCGGCUCAUCACAUCCUGGGGCUGAAGUAGGUCCCAAGGGUAUGGCUGUUCGCCAUUUAAAGUGGUACGCGAGCUGGGUUUAGAACGUCGUGAGACAGUUCGGUCCCUAUCUGCCGUGGGCGCUGGAGAACUGAGGGGGGCUGCUCCUAGUACGAGAGGACCGGAGUGGACGCAUCACUGGUGUUCGGGUUGUCAUGCCAAUGGCACUGCCCGGUAGCUAAAUGCGGAAGAGAUAAGUGCUGAAAGCAUCUAAGCACGAAACUUGCCCCG
This 1526-nucleotide ribosomal RNA is filed under the name Escherichia coli. Its description in RNAcentral is "partial 23S ribosomal RNA". It matches the Rfam family "Bacterial large subunit ribosomal RNA", at positions 1292 to 2801 of the family's 2925-position model. Lineage: Bacteria; Pseudomonadati; Pseudomonadota; Gammaproteobacteria; Enterobacterales; Enterobacteriaceae. The record is from RNAcentral.